UUCAGCUCCCUGCCCACCAGACUGUGAGCUCCUCCAGGCCCAUCUUCCUGCAUGAAACGAGCCUGUGCGCACAAAGUCUGCCAAAGCACGGAUCCCGGAGCCUGGUGCCCCACAGAUGCUCUAACACGUUGACCUCUGUCGUCCUGUGAGUGAUGAUGGCACGAGUAACACGGGGUGCACACAGAGAGCGGUGUAGCUGCUGUGCUAGGGUCAGGCCCUUUGUUGGAAACAACACAUCGGAAAGAGUGUCUAGAGCACAUCUCUCAGGAGGCGUGACUGCUGAAUCCACUUUCUCCCCACACACAACGUCCAGUGAUGUGCACCCAGCAAGCGCCCGUGGGAUCCUUCUGAACGGAAGAAAUUCUGCUCUCUGUCAGCCUGUGCUGUUAGGUGUCCCCAGGAAACCCACGCGUCUUCUGCGGACAGACCUGGCUCGAGAACAGCCCACACUCUUGACCAUCACCGAGCAAGCAUACCCGCCCUUAAGGCUGGAGUGAAGUGGGAGGAGCCGG
This 512-nucleotide long non-coding RNA is filed under the name Sus scrofa (pig). RNAcentral describes it as "lncRNA (ENSSSCG00055004981.1)". The record is from RNAcentral. Lineage: Eukaryota; Metazoa; Chordata; Mammalia; Artiodactyla; Suidae.